This 453-nucleotide ribosomal RNA is filed under the name uncultured bacterium. RNAcentral's name for it is "bacterial SSU rRNA". It matches the Rfam family "Bacterial small subunit ribosomal RNA", at positions 29 to 524 of the family's 1533-position model. The record is from RNAcentral.
AACGAACGCUGGCGGCAGGCCUCAAACAUGCAAGUCUAGGGGGUGUAGCAAUACAUCACCGGCGGACGGGUGCGUAACGCGUGGGAAUAUACCUAUCGAUUCGGAACAACUGAGGGAAACUUCAGCUAAUACCGAAUACGUCCUAACGGAGAAAGAUUUAUCGUCGAUAGAUUAGCCCGCGUUCGAUUAGCUAGUUGGUGGGGUAACGGCCCACCAAGGCGACGAUCGAUAGCUGUUCUGAGAGGAAGAUCAGCCACACUGGGACUGAGACACGGCCCAGACUCCUACGGGAGGCAGCAGUUGGGAAUCUUGGACAAUGGGGGAAACCCUGAUCCAGCCAUGCCGCGUGAGUGAUGAAGGCCUUCGGGUUGUAAAACUACUUUCGCGCACGACGAUAAUGACGGUAGUGCGAGAAGAAGCUCCGGCUAACUUCGUGCCAGCAGCCGCGGUAAU